GACGAACGCUGGCGGCGUGCUUAACACAUGCAAGUCGAACGGAAAGGCUCCAGCUUGCUGGAGUACUCGAGUGGCGAACGGGUGAGUAACACGUGGGUAAUCUGCCCUGCACUCUGGGAUAAGCCUGGGAAACUGGGUCUAAUACUGGAUAUGACCUUUCUCCUUAUGGGGUUUGGUGGAAAGUUUUUCGGUGUAGGAUGAGCCCGCGGCCUAUCAGCUUGUUGGUGGGGUGAUGGCCUACCAAGGCGACGACGGGUAGCCGGCCUGGGAGGGGGAUCGGCCACAUUGGGACUGAGAUACGGCCCAGACUCCUACGGGAGGCAGCAGUGGGGAAUAUUGCACAAUGGGCGGAAGCCUGAUGCAGCGACGCCGCGUGAGGGAUGACGGCCUUCGGGUUGUAAACCUCUUUCAGCAGGGACGAAGCGUAAGUGACGUUACCUGCAGAAGAAGCACCGGCUAACUAUGUG
This 467-nucleotide ribosomal RNA is filed under the name uncultured bacterium. RNAcentral describes it as "partial 16S ribosomal RNA". It matches the Rfam family "Bacterial small subunit ribosomal RNA", at positions 28 to 507 of the family's 1533-position model. The record is from RNAcentral.